This 474-nucleotide ribosomal RNA is filed under the name uncultured bacterium. RNAcentral's name for it is "bacterial SSU rRNA". It matches the Rfam family "Bacterial small subunit ribosomal RNA", at positions 335 to 803 of the family's 1533-position model. The record is from RNAcentral.
ACUCCUACGGGAGGCAGCAGUAGGGAAUCUUCCACAAUGGACGAAAGUCUGAUGGAGCAACGCCGCGUGAACGAUGAAGGCUUUCGGGUCGUAAAGUUCUGUUGUAAGGGAAGAACAAGUGCCGCAGGCAAUGGCGGCACCUUGACGGUACCUUGCGAGAAAGCCACGGCUAACUACGUGCCAGCAGCCGCGGUAAUACGUAGGUGGCAAGCGUUGUCCGGAAUUAUUGGGCGUAAAGCGCGCGCAGGCGGCCUCUUAAGUCUGAUGUGAAAGCCCCCCGGCUCAACCGGGGAGGGCCAUUGGAAACUGGGAGGCUUGAGUAUAGGAGAGAAGAGUGGAAUUCCACGUGUAGCGGUGAAAUGCGUAGAGAUGUGGAGGAACACCAGUGGCGAAGGCGACUCUUUGGCCUAUAACUGACGCUGAGGCGCGAAAGCGUGGGAGCAAACAGGAUUAGAUACCCCUGGUAGCGACUGA